RNAcentral lists this ribosomal RNA (254 nucleotides) under uncultured bacterium. RNAcentral describes it as "partial 16S ribosomal RNA". It matches the Rfam family "Bacterial small subunit ribosomal RNA", at positions 524 to 776 of the family's 1533-position model. The record is from RNAcentral.
CACGUAGGGGGCAAGCGUUGUCCGGAUUUAUUGGGCGUAAAGAGCUCGUAGGCGGCUCGGUAAGUCGGGUGUGAAAACUCGGGGCUCAACCCCGAGACGCCACUCGAUACUGCCAUGGCUUGAGUCCGGUAGGGGAGCGUGGAAUUCCUGGUGUAGCGGUGAAAUGCGCAGAUAUCAGGAGGAACACCGGUGGCGAAGGCGGCGCUCUGGGCCGGUACUGACGCUGAGGAGCGAAAGCGUGGGGAGCAAACAGG